Molecule: ribosomal RNA, 140 nt
Filed under: uncultured bacterium
Lineage: Bacteria
Description: partial 16S ribosomal RNA
Rfam family: Bacterial small subunit ribosomal RNA
Source: RNAcentral
UGGGGAAUAUUGCACAAUGGGCGCAAGCCUGAUGCAGCAACGCCGCGUGCGGGAUGACGGCCUUCGGGUUGUAAACCGCUUUCAGUUCCGACGAAGCGCAAGUGACGGUAGGAACAGAAGAAGGACCGGCCAACUACGUG